AAGCAAUUCUCCUGCCUCAGCCUCCCAAGUAGCUGGGAUUACAGAUCAUGAACUGGCAGCCAUGUGGAAAGAAGACUAGACUGCGAAUCACUUAGGAUCCCACCCUCGGUUUAGUCUAGAAUACUCUGCGAAUCAGCUUUUUGGCCCUAGUGGAUGACAAGAACUGAGACAAAUCACCAAUGGGCACAAACUAGUAGGAAAGAGACAAAUGGAAGCAAAAUAGCAAAAUGGUGAAGAGGAGGGUUCUAGAGGCAGAGAGCCCUGCAGUCCUGAGUCCUGAGUCCACCGUUUAACAGAGUGACUUUGCUCAGCCUGUGGAUUAUAAUGAAACUUGCCUGUUAUAGGAUCCAGUUUUUUAGGUGGUAGCAACAUGCUCAAGGAAGAUGCAGCCCCUUCCUCCAGCCUGAGAGAAUAAAGCAUCAUUGGCUUAUGCCAACCAUGGCAAUCCCAUUCCCCUUUUCUCAUGAUUGAUUUGGGAAUGGGCAAGUGACCCAGUUCUAACCAAUGAGACGAAAGAAAAAGUCUAUUGGUCAGCUUAUCUCAGAAGAUUUUUGUUUCCUGCUAUAAAGAGAAACAGUAAGUUCCUUCCUGCCUGACUUAAAUGCAAUUGUGUGCAAACAUGUUACUUGGAGCUACAGCAACGAUUCUGUGACCAUGAGGCAAUAAGCCAAGGACAAAGGAUAGAAUAGUGAAAAGACAGAGUAUUGGAUUUUUUUUAUGAUAUCAUUGAACUGCUGGACCAAUGUGGAACCAUCUACUUUUAGUCUUUCAUGAUUUGUGAGAUGAUUAAACAUUUCUUUUUUUUAGCCAUUAUUUCUUUUCUGUUACUUGCAACUGAAGACAUCCUACAUAAUACAAACACUAUCCAACUUGGAUUGUAAUUUAUCUAUUUUCAGAUCUGUGUGUUCUGUCUUACUGAUUUUUGUAUUCUUAGCACUGAGUAUAAGGCUGCUACUUAGUAAGACUUCAAUAAAUGACUGUUUAAAAAGG
Molecule: long non-coding RNA, 990 nt
Filed under: Homo sapiens (human)
Lineage: Eukaryota; Metazoa; Chordata; Mammalia; Primates; Hominidae
Description: HSALNT0350885
Source: RNAcentral